UUCCAUUUCACCGAGUGACUCGAGUACUUUCCCCAAAUUGUACCAAGUCUGAUGAGAAUUCGGAUCGAUCUUCGCCGCAUCGCGAAGAGUUUUUUCUGCUAGCCUCUGACUCCCGAGUUUUGAAAUAUCAAGUUUUUGGAAAGAUUCAUCACUUGAACAGGCAAAAGAUUGCUGAUUGAAUGACAACAUGAGUGAAAACUUUGGUGAGAAACUCACGGUGUACAUGAUGUGGUGACUCAUGGGAAAAAUAUUCGUCGCUUCUUGCAAGGAUAAAGUAGCACCCUCGGGUCGAUCCAACGCCAAGAAUACUUCGGCGAGCAAAAGCCAAAUUUGUAAUUGCAAGUGCCAGGCUCUUUGAGGUCCUGGUUUUGGAGUGAACGAGCUCAGCGAUGAAGCAACCUCUGAAAGCGCUUGCUCUAUUCUCGAAGCAGCCAACGAUUGUGCGUGGAGAGAACCUGCGAAUACAAGAAUUCUCACAUGUCAAUUUCGGUGAUUUUUUUAUCGUGAAAAUGACAGUUCUUCAAGUAUCGAAAUAAAAUGGUUAUUUUGAGCGAA
Venturia canescens is the source of this 555-nucleotide long non-coding RNA. RefSeq lists it as uncharacterized. Lineage: Eukaryota; Metazoa; Arthropoda; Insecta; Hymenoptera; Ichneumonidae. The record is from RefSeq and is a predicted model, not a curated record. The transcript has 3 exons.